RNAcentral lists this unclassified non-coding RNA (118 nucleotides) under uncultured fungus. RNAcentral describes it as "sequence contains ITS1". The record is from RNAcentral. Lineage: Eukaryota; Fungi.
ACGUCAUCCCCACCUUCCGUUCCCACGUCGCUUCUUCAACCCCAUGGUGUCUCCAUGACACCUUUACCAACGGUAAGUUUUGCCCCGUAGCACUUGCUCCCGGGUAUCUAAUCCGGUU